Molecule: long non-coding RNA, 547 nt
Organism: Lathyrus oleraceus (garden pea)
Lineage: Eukaryota; Viridiplantae; Streptophyta; Magnoliopsida; Fabales; Fabaceae
Exons: 3
Source: RefSeq, a predicted model, not a curated record
UUGGCGGACGCUAAGGAAUUUUCUAUUUCUGACCAAAAAUUGCGCGACAGCUUAUUUCCCUCUUUCCUUUUCCCUCGUCAUUUUUCACUCUCCCUCCAUUUCAUUUCACAACACGAAAACCCUAAUUCCAUGCUAAAUCGUGAAUCCGUUUUUUCCCAAUUUCGUGAACCGAUUCGUGAAUCCCUAAUCCGUGAAUCCAUUGAAGAAUCCCUAAUUCAAAAUCCCUCGUUAAAGGGUUUCUGAAUCAUCAAAGGUUUUCCAGAACUAUCGGCUUUGUGGAUGCUGGAAUCAACUUUUCUUUGCAAGUUUUCAAGAAUGCUCAUCUUACUUAGUGGAGGCAGUAAGCAGUUGUUGAAUGCAAGUUAAUUUGGAACCGAAGCACUAUAUCAUCCGGGAUUUUGCAAAGACAACUCUUUCUCAAGGUUAGUCAUCCCUAUGUUAAUUUGGAACCAGACUGAACUGUUAGUGUUUGCAAUAGUUAGUGUUUGCAUCAGUUAGUAUUUCUCAAGGUUGAGAAUUAUUUAUGAAUUGAUUUUGUGGUUAUGAG